GGGUGGUCAGGUAGAGAAUACCGAGGCGUUCGGGUGAACUAUGGUUAAGGAACUCGGCAAAAUGCCCCCGUAACUUCGGGAGAAGGGGGGCCAUUCUAGGUGAUGAAGUUUUCCUUCUGAGCUUGGGGUGGCCGCAGAGACCAGCGAGAAGCGACUGUUUACUAAAAACACAGGUCCGUGCGAAGCCGUAAGGCGAUGUAUACGGACUGACGCCUGCCCGGUGCUGGAACGUUAAGGGGACCGGUUAGUCACAUUUCGGUGUGGCGAGGCUGAGAACUUAAGCGCCAGUAAACGGCGGUGGUAACUAUAACCAUCCUAAGGUAGCGAAAUUCCUUGUCGGGUAAGUUCCGACCUGCACGAAUGGCGUAACGACUUCUCGACUGUCUCAACCAUAGGCCCGGUGAAAUUGCACUACGAGUAAAGAUGCUCGUUUCGCGCAGCAGGACGGAAAGACCCCGGGACCUUUACUAUAGUUUGAUAUUGGUGUUCGGUUCGGCUUGUGUAGGAUAGGUGGGAGACUGUGAAGCUUGGACGCCAGUUCAGGUGGAGUCGUCGUUGAAAUACCACUCUGGUCGUGCUGGAUGCCUAACCUGGGUCCGUGAUCCGGAUCAGGGACAGUGUCUGAUGGGUAGUUUAACUGGGGCGGUUGCCUCCUAAAGAGUAACGGAGGCGCCCAAAGGUUCCCUCAGCCUGGUUGGUAAUCAGGUGUUGAGUGUAAGUGCACAAGGGAGCUUGACUGUGAGACCGACGGGUCGAGCAGGGACGAAAGUCGGGACUAGUGAUCCGGCGGUGGCUUGUGGAAGCGCCGUCGCUCAACGGAUAAAAGGUACCCCGGGGAUAACAGGCUGAUCUUCCCCAAGAGUCCAUAUCGACGGGAUGGUUUGGCACCUCGAUGUCGGCUCGUCGCAUCCUGGGGCUGGAGUCGGUCCCAAGGGUUGGGCUGUUCGCCCAUUAAAGCGGUACGCGAGCUGGGUUUAGAACGUCGUGAGACAGUUCGGUCCCUAUCCGCUGUGCGCGUAGGAGUCUUGAGAAGGGCUGUCCCUAUACGAGAGGACCGGGACGGACGAACCUCUGGUGUGCCAGUUGUCCUGCCAAGGGCAUGGCUGGUUGGCUACGUUCGGGAGGGAUAACCGCUGAAAGCAUCUAAGCGGGAAGCCUGCUUCGAGAUGAGGGCUCCCACCCCCUAGAGGGGUUAAGGCUCCCAGUAGACGACUGGGUUGAUAGGCCAGAUGUGGAAGACCGGUAACGGUUGAAGCUGACUGGUACUAAUAGGCCGAGGGCUUGUCCG
Molecule: ribosomal RNA, 1288 nt
Filed under: metagenome
Description: bacterial LSU rRNA
Rfam family: Bacterial large subunit ribosomal RNA
Source: RNAcentral